RNAcentral lists this ribosomal RNA (253 nucleotides) under uncultured bacterium. RNAcentral's name for it is "partial 16S ribosomal RNA". It matches the Rfam family "Bacterial small subunit ribosomal RNA", at positions 524 to 776 of the family's 1533-position model. The record is from RNAcentral.
UACGGAGGGAGCUAGCGUUGUUCGGAUAUACUGGGCGUAAAGCGCACGUAGGCGGCGCAGCAAGUCAGGGGUGAAAUCCCGGGGCUCAACCCCGGAACUGCCUCUGAAACUGCAGUGCUAGAAUCUUGGAGAGGCGAGUGGAAUUCCGAGUGUAGAGGUGAAAUUCGUAGAUAUUCGGAAGAACACCAGUGGCGAAGGCGACUCGCUGGACAAGUAUUGACGCUGAGGUGCGAAAGCGUGGGGAGCAAACAGG